AGAGUGAACGCUGGCGGUAGGCCUAACACAUGCAAGUCGAACGGCAGCACAGUGGUAGCAAUACCAUGGGUGGCGAGUGGCGGACGGGUGAGGAAUACAUCGGAAUCUACCUUUUCGUGGGGGAUAACGUAGGGAAACUUACGCUAAUACCGCAUACGCCCUUCGGGGGAAAGCCGGGGAUCGCAAGACCUGGCGCGGAUAGAUGAGCCGAUGUCGGAUUAGCUAGUUGGUGAGGUAAUGGCUCACCAAGGCGACGAUCCGUAGCUGGUCUGAGAGGAUGAUCAGCCACACUGGAACUGAGACACGGUCCAGACUCCUACGGGAGGCAGCAGUGGGGAAUAUUGGACAAUGGGCGAAAGCCCGAUCCAGCCAUGCCGCGUGUGUGAAGAAGGUCUUCGGAUUGAAAGCACUUUGAGUUGGAGGAAGGUUGUAACUUAAUACGUUGCUAACUUUGACGUUACCGACAGAAUAAGCAACGGUCUAACUUCGUAGCCAGCAACG
This 501-nucleotide ribosomal RNA is filed under the name uncultured soil bacterium. RNAcentral describes it as "bacterial SSU rRNA". It matches the Rfam family "Bacterial small subunit ribosomal RNA", at positions 26 to 516 of the family's 1533-position model. The record is from RNAcentral.